This 424-nucleotide ribosomal RNA is filed under the name Osteocephalus taurinus group sp. ABGD cluster 12. RNAcentral's name for it is "partial large subunit ribosomal RNA". It matches the Rfam family "Bacterial large subunit ribosomal RNA", at positions 1834 to 2439 of the family's 2925-position model. The record is from RNAcentral. Lineage: Eukaryota; Metazoa; Chordata; Amphibia; Anura; Hylidae.
CUUGAAUAACUAUAAGAGGUCCAGCCUGCCCAGUGACUUUGUUCAACGGCCGCGGUAUCCUAACCGUGCGAAGGUAGCGUAAUCACUUGUCUUUUAAAUGGGGACUUGUAUGAAUGGCAUCACGAGGGUUAUACUGUCUCCUUUUUCUAAUCAGUGAAACUAAUCUUCCCGUGAAGAAGCGGGAAUAAACAUAUAAGACGAGAAGACCCUAUGGAGCUUUAAACUCAAUAACAAAUACUAACCUUACAUCAACUUUCAGAAGAUCAACCUUAAUUUUAGUAUUAUGAUUAUUAGUUUUAGGUUGGGGUGACCGCGGAGUAAAAAUUAACCUCCACAUUGAACGGGACCUGUCCCUGAGCCAAGAACUACAGCUCAAAGCACCAACAAAUUGACAUUAAUUGACCCAAUAUUUUGAUCAACGAAC